UUGCGUUCGCAGCACAUAUACCAAAAUUGCAAUGAUACAGAAAGGAUUAGCAUGGCCUCUGAGCCAGGAUGACAUGCAAAAUGGUGGUAUGAGCCAUGAAGAG
This is a small nuclear RNA of Talpa occidentalis (Iberian mole), 103 nucleotides long. NCBI's taxonomy places the organism in Eukaryota, Metazoa, Chordata, Mammalia, Eulipotyphla, Talpidae. The record is from RefSeq and is a predicted model, not a curated record.